GCUGCCAUGGUUUGGGGCGGUUUGGGGCGGUUUGGGGCUGCUGUGGCUCGCAGCGGUUCGGGGCUGCUGUGGCAGCUCC
Non-coding RNA from Turdus rufiventris (rufous-bellied thrush), 79 nucleotides. The record is from the annotation of a GenBank genome assembly. Lineage: Eukaryota; Metazoa; Chordata; Aves; Passeriformes; Turdidae.